CGAGUGAAGCGGGAAGAGCUCAAAUUUGUAAUCUGGCGUCCUUCGGGCGUCCGAGUUGUAAUCUAUAGAAGUGUUUUCCGUGCCGGACCAUGUCCAAGUCCCUUGGAACAGGGUAUCAAAGAGGGUGACAAUCCCGUACUUGACAUGACCACCGGUGCUCUGUGAUACACUUUCUACGAGUCGAGUUGUUUGGGAAUGCAGCUCAAAAUGGGUGGUAAAUUCCAUCUAAAGCUAAAUAUUGGCGAGAGACCGAUAGCGAACAAGUACCGUGAGGGAAAGAUGAAAAGCACUUUGGAAAGAGAGUUAAACAGUACGUGAAAUUGUUGAAAGGGAAACGAUUGAAGUCAGUCGUGUUCUUUGGACUCAGCCGGUUCUUCCGGUCUAUUUCCUUUGAACGGGUCAACAUCAGUUUUGUCCGGUGGAUAAAGGCAGGAAGAAAGUGGCUCCCUCGGGAGUGUUAUAGCUUUCUGUCACAUACACUGGAGGAGACUGAGGACUGCAGCUCGCCUUUUGGCCGGGGUUCGCCCACGUUCGAGCUUAGG
RNAcentral lists this ribosomal RNA (542 nucleotides) under Vanrija musci. RNAcentral describes it as "LSU rRNA". It matches the Rfam family "Eukaryotic large subunit ribosomal RNA", at positions 90 to 621 of the family's 3401-position model. Lineage: Eukaryota; Fungi; Basidiomycota; Tremellomycetes; Trichosporonales; Trichosporonaceae. The record is from RNAcentral.